This 295-nucleotide ribosomal RNA is filed under the name uncultured bacterium. RNAcentral's name for it is "partial 16S ribosomal RNA". It matches the Rfam family "Bacterial small subunit ribosomal RNA", at positions 28 to 334 of the family's 1533-position model. The record is from RNAcentral.
GAUGAACGCUAGCGGCAGGCUUAACACAUGCAAGUCGAGGGGUAACAGAGGUAGCUUGCUACUUGCUGACGACCGGCGCACGGGUGCGUAACGCGUAUAGAAUCUGCCUCAUACUGAGGGAUAGCCUUUGGAAACGAUGAUUAAUACCGGAUAGUCUCUUUGGAGUAAAAAUUUAUUGCUUGGGGAGGAGCCUGCGUUCUAUCAGCUAGUUGGUGAGGUAAAAGCUCACCAAGGCAAUGACGGAUACCUGGUCUGAGAGGAUGAUCAGGCGCAAUGGAACUGAGACACGGUCCAU